This 433-nucleotide ribosomal RNA is filed under the name uncultured bacterium. Its description in RNAcentral is "partial 16S ribosomal RNA". It matches the Rfam family "Bacterial small subunit ribosomal RNA", at positions 29 to 507 of the family's 1533-position model. The record is from RNAcentral.
AACGAACGCUGGCGGCAUGCCUAACACAUGCAAGUCGAACGAGACCUUCGGGUCUAGUUGCGCACGGGUGCGUAACGCGUGGGAACCUGCCCUUAGGUUCGGAAUAACUCCCCGAAAGGGGUGCUAAUACCGGAUAAUGUCUUCGGACCAAAGAUUUAUCGCCUUUGGAUGGGCCCGCGUUGGAUUAGCUAGUUGGUAGGGUAAAAGCCUACCAAGGCGACGAUCCAUAGCUGGUCUGAAAGGAGGAUCAGCCACACUGGGACUGAGACACGGCCCAGACUCCUACGGGAGGCAGCAGUGGGGAAUAUUGGACAAUGGGCGAAAGCCUGAUACAGCAAUGCCGCGUGAGUGAUGAAGGGCUUAGGGUUGUAAAGCUCUUUUACCCGGGAUGAUAAUGACAGUACCGGGAGAAUAAGCUCCGGCUAACUACGUG